CUGCGUCCCAUCAGCUAGUUGGUAGGGUAAUGGCCUACCAAGGCGAUGACGGGUAGGGGACCUGAGAGGGUGGACCCCCAGAAUGGAACUGAUACACGGUCCAUACACCUACGGGUGGCAGCAGUAGGGAAUAUUGGUAAUGUGCGAAAGCGCGAACCAGCAACGCCGCGUGUGCGAUGACGGCCUUCGGGUUGUAAAGCACUUUUCGGGAGGAAGAGGAAGGACUGUACUCCCGGAAUAAGUCUCGGCUAACUACGUGCCAGCAGCCGCGGUUAAUACGUAGGAGGCAAACGUUAUCCGGAUUUACUGGGCGUAAAGCGCGUGCAGGCUGUUCAAUAAGUUGGGCGUGAAAGCUCCCGGCUCAACUGGGAGCAGGUCGUUCAAUACUGUUGGACUAGAGGAUGGUAGAGGAAGGUGGAAUUCCGGGUGUAGUGGUGAAAUGCGCAGAUAUCCGGAGGAACACCAGUGGCGAAAGCGGGCUUCUGGACCAUUCCUGACGCUCAGACGCGAAAGCUAGGGUAGCGAACGGGAUUAGAGACCCCGGUAGUCCUAGCUGUACACGAUGUGAACUUGGCGUCGGUGGGAUUAAAUCCAUCGGUGUCGGAGCUAACGCGAGAAGUUCACCGCCUGAGGACUACGCUCGCAAGGUUAAAACUCAAAGGAAUUGACGGGGACCCGCACAAGCAGCGGAGCGUGUGGUUUAAUUCGUUGCUACACGAAGAACCUUACCUGGGUCUGACAUAUAGGUUGUAGGGAACUGAAAAGGGACCGACCCUUCGGGGAGCCUAUACAGGUGUUGCAUGGCUGUCGUCAGCUCGUGUCGUGAGAUGUUCGGUUAAGUCCGCUUACGAGCGCAACCCUCGCCGUAUGUUAUACGUGUCAUACGGGACUGCCGGUAAUAAGCCGGAGGAAGGUGGGGAUGAUGUCAAGUCAGCAUGACCUUUAUAUCCAGGGCUACACACACGCUA
RNAcentral lists this ribosomal RNA (968 nucleotides) under uncultured organism. Its description in RNAcentral is "bacterial SSU rRNA". It matches the Rfam family "Bacterial small subunit ribosomal RNA", at positions 231 to 1227 of the family's 1533-position model. The record is from RNAcentral.